This is a small nuclear RNA of Echinops telfairi (small Madagascar hedgehog), 157 nucleotides long. Its record names the gene U1. It matches the Rfam family "U1 spliceosomal RNA". From Rfam's summary of the family: U1 is a small nuclear RNA (snRNA) component of the spliceosome (involved in pre-mRNA splicing). Its 5' end forms complementary base pairs with the 5' splice junction, thus defining the 5' donor site of an intron. NCBI's taxonomy places the organism in Eukaryota, Metazoa, Chordata, Mammalia, Afrosoricida, Tenrecidae. The record is from Ensembl.
AGACUUACCUGGUAGGUAGGUACCAGGAUCGUGAAGGUGGUUUCCCCAGGGCCGGGAUUAUCGCUGCUCCCGGAAGUGCUAACUCCUGCAAUGUCUCCAAACGUGGGAGACUCCGAUGCAGCAUUUGUGGUAGUGGGGACUGCGUCUAUACUCCCCU